AGUUUUUAAGAUAUUAAAACAAAACGUAAUCAUCAUGUGAUAUCGAUAUCAAAAUUGAUUGUUAACCUUCCAACCGAGAGAUCAAAAUGGAGUGUGACAAACAUAAUCAACCGCUCCACUUGUACUGUCCCAGUCAUUUAAUGCCAUCCUGUGAUGUAUGUAUUUCCACAAGUCAUUCAAAAUGUACCGGUAUAACAAGUUUAGCUAGCGUAGUGGAGUAAACCAAAAUAGAAAACUCAAAAGAAAAUGUAGAGAAAGACAUAAAUUAUUUCUUAUCUAUUCUUGACCAAUUAGUGACCAGCAAAUCAAAAAACAUUAAAACUGGAGACAAAAAUUGCAUAGGCAUACAAAAAUCAAUUACAGAAAUAAGAAAGGAAAUAGAUAAACAUUUAGACCG
Molecule: long non-coding RNA, 397 nt
Filed under: Mytilus galloprovincialis (Mediterranean mussel)
Lineage: Eukaryota; Metazoa; Mollusca; Bivalvia; Mytilida; Mytilidae
Source: RNAcentral